GACGAACGCUGGCGGCGUGCUUAACACAUGCAAGUCGAACGGAAAGGCCCCUUUGGGGUUACCCGAGUGGGGAACGGGGGAGUAACACUUGAGUAACCUCCCCUUGCUUCCGGGAUAACUUCAGGAAACAGGGGCUAAUACCGAAUGGGAACCCUUGCUCCAUGGGGGGGGUGGGAAAGCUUCGGCGGUUUUGGAUGGACUCGCGGCUUAUCAGCUUGUUGGUGGGGUAGUGGCUUACCAAGGCUUUGACGGGUAGCCGGCCUGAGAGGGCGACCGGCCACAUUGGGACUGAGAUACGGCCCAGACUCCUACGGGAGGCAGCAGUGGGGAAUAUUGCACAAUGGGCGGAAGCCUGAUGCAGCAACGCCGCGUGCGGGAUGACGGCCUUCGGGUUGUAAACCGCUUUCAGCAGGGGCGAAGCUUGUGGUGACGGUACCUGCAGAAGAAGCACCGGCUAACUACGUG
Molecule: ribosomal RNA, 465 nt
Filed under: uncultured bacterium
Lineage: Bacteria
Description: partial 16S ribosomal RNA
Rfam family: Bacterial small subunit ribosomal RNA
Source: RNAcentral